UCCCAGGUGGCGCUAUUGGUAAAGAAGCUGCCUGCAAUGCAGGAGACCCAGGUUUGAUCCCUGGCUUGGGAA
This 72-nucleotide transfer RNA is filed under the name Capra hircus (goat). It matches the Rfam family "tRNA". From Rfam's summary of the family: Transfer RNA (tRNA) molecules are approximately 80 nucleotides in length. Their secondary structure includes four short double-helical elements and three loops (D, anti-codon, and T loops). Further hydrogen bonds mediate the characteristic L-shaped molecular structure. tRNAs have two regions of fundamental functional importance: the anti-codon, which is responsible for specific mRNA codon recognition, and the 3' end, to which the tRNAs corresponding amino acid is attached (by aminoacyl-tRNA synthetases). tRNAs cope with the degeneracy of the genetic code in two manners: having more than one tRNA (with a specific anti-codon) for a particular amino acid; and 'wobble' base-pairing, i.e. permitting non-standard base-pairing at the 3rd anti-codon position. RNAcentral also lists the same sequence under 1 other name. The record is from Rfam by way of RNAcentral. Lineage: Eukaryota; Metazoa; Chordata; Mammalia; Artiodactyla; Bovidae.